Molecule: ribosomal RNA, 986 nt
Filed under: uncultured bacterium
Lineage: Bacteria
Description: bacterial SSU rRNA
Rfam family: Bacterial small subunit ribosomal RNA
Source: RNAcentral
CGCCAAGAACUCCCCCCACGAGUGGGGGGCUGCCGGUAGCGUAGGAAUAAGCAUCGGCUAACUCCGUGCCAGCAGCCGCGGUAAUACGGAGGAUGCAAGCGUUAUCCGGAUUCAUUGGGUUUAAAGGGUGCGCAGGCGGGCUUGUAAGUCAGUGGUGAAAUACUGCCGCUUAACGGUAGAAUUGCCAUUGAUACUGCGAGUCUUGAGUAUGGUUGAGGUAGGCGGAAUGUGCAGUGUAGCGGUGAAAUGCAUAGAGAUUGCACAGAACACCGAUUGCGGAGGCAGCUUACUAAGCCAUAACUGACGCUGAGGCACGAAAGCGUGGGGAGCGAACAGGAUUAGAUACCCUGGUAGUCCACGCUGUAAACGAUGUUCACUCGCUGUUUGCGAUACACAGUAAGCGGCUGAGCGAAAGCAUUAAGUGAACCACCUGGGGAGUACGAUCGCAAGGUUGAAACUCAAAGGAAUUGACGGGGGCCCGCACAAGCGGAGGAACAUGUGGUUUAAUUCGAUGAUACGCGAGGAACCUUACCUGGGCUUAAAUGUAGGCUGCAUUCCCGAGAAAUCGGGAUUCCCUUCGGGGCUGCUUACAAGGUGCUGCAUGGUUGUCGUCAGCUCGUGCCGUGAGGUGUCGGGUUAAGUCCCAUAACGAGCGCAACCCUUAUCGUUAGUUGCCAUCAGGUAAAGCUGGGGACUCUAGCGAGACUGCCACCGUAAGGUGAGAGGAAGGUGGGGAUGACGUCAAAUCAGCACGGCCCUUAUGUCCAGGGCUACACACGUGUUACAAUGGCCGGUACAGAGGGAAGCUACCUGGUGACAGGUUGCCAAUCUUAAAAGCCGGUCUCAGUUCGGAUUGGAGUCUGCAACCCGACUCCAUGAAGUUGGAUUCGCUAGUAAUCGCGCAUCAGCCAUGGCGCGGUGAAUACGUUCCCGGGCCUUGUACACACCGCCCGUCAAACCAUGGGAGCUGGGGGUGCCUGAAGUCU